CCACUAAGCAGAAGAGAUACCUGUGAUCAAGAAGGUGGUUCACCCAGUGUGGUGCUCAGCCAUUGCACUCUGGCUGUGCUGACCCCUUGUGAAUUUUUCAAAUGUGGGAAUCUCGAUUGCAUAAUUUUUUCCAAAUGUGGGAAUCUCGAUUGCAAAAUUUAUGG
This is a small nuclear RNA of Salvelinus namaycush (lake trout), 164 nucleotides long. RefSeq annotates it as U1 spliceosomal RNA. The record is from RefSeq and is a predicted model, not a curated record. The transcript has a single exon. NCBI's taxonomy places the organism in Eukaryota, Metazoa, Chordata, Actinopteri, Salmoniformes, Salmonidae.